Molecule: long non-coding RNA, 39571 nt
Filed under: Musa acuminata (dwarf banana)
Lineage: Eukaryota; Viridiplantae; Streptophyta; Magnoliopsida; Zingiberales; Musaceae
Description: long non-coding RNA (MACU_LNC007464)
Source: RNAcentral
AGGAAUAAUAUGCGACGCGCUUGCUGGUUCCCUUCGCACGGCUGGCUUCUUAUCUCUCUCCUUAUCCUGUAUAUUAUAUAGCUUCCUCUAGAAACCCACAGCCCAGGACGAGUUUCUUGCCUAGCGCCCGGUACUGCUUAAUAACCUACUGAGACUUCUUUUCCUUAUGCCGGAUACAGGGAUACAGCUCCGAACUAAACUCUCCACUAAACUUUCGUCACCAACAACAAGAACUCGACUUUCUCCUUUACCUCGACUAGAAAGAGACUAUACUGAAGGAACAGACCUGCUUGCUGCUGACGAACUUUACCCUUUCACACUAUCAAAUAAUUGACAUUGAUAACGGAACUAAUAGAAUGGAAAACAAACACAUGAGUUCAGUGCAAGCAAGGAAAGGGUUGUCAGAGAACUGUGAUGCUGUAUAGCUAUAUGUAUCCGGGGAGUUGUAUCACCCAUGUUUUCAGCAAUGAGGAAAUAGAGAACAUCGCACAGAUAGGUUCUUCUUAUUACCUGUUAUAUGCCCAACGACUAUGAAAGUGUGAGCCUCCCUCUCGCCAACCCCUAUCGGUCUAUACUAGAAUAUUCUAAUAUAAUAAAUAGAAAUAGAAUACUCUAUUGCAAUUCAUUUAUCUCACUUGCUGCGCUUCAUCAUGUGCUUACGGAGUUGAGUUUAAGGCUGGAACAACAUCUUUUAUACUGGGUUAAGGCUUCAAAGCCAGUACACCAUUAAUGUAAAGGAAGCUGUAAACCCGUCUUUUCAACAAGAAAGAGAACCUGCCGAAACAGCACAAAGAAGCAAAUCCGGAUACGUAAGUAAACAGUACAGUAAACAAGGGGGGAAGCGAAGAGCCGAGCAAGAGGGUUAGUCUCUAUCUAUCAACAAUUCUUUCUUCUGUUCAAUGCCUUACGAGUUCCAAUCCUUGAGAAUGAUGCUUGCCAAUCACUCCUUGCCCUUAUGGAUGGAGCAUCUACCAGACUUGAUACUUCUUGAUACCCAGACUUGAUAGAAACGUUACUUUCUUCUCGCCGACCACGGAGCUCAAUCCUAAUCCUCUGUCUAAUAACCUCUGUCUGUCUAUAUGAGACUCCCUUCUUUAUUUAUUUUAUACUACACUUUCAUUUCGAACUGCAUCUUCAAAAAGGGGCCGCUCUUCCCCUUUUCCACCCUAUGGAUUGAGGAGAGGGGAGCCGCCUAUAUUAGUGAUUAAACUAAGAUGAUGUUAGGAGAGUUGUCACCCUAUUAUUCUGUUAUGUGUCCCAUCCCAUAAGGAGAGUUGUUAUGAACUGCUAUAAUAUGUCCCUAAGAUGAAGGGGGUAAUCUUGAUCAUAUAAAUAGUUGCUCCAUAUAUGAAAUCUAACCCGACCCUUUAUUCUUAUCUUAUGGCGGCGCUACCCUUUAUUCUUUCUUAUCUUAUGAAAUCUAACCCGAACCUUUAUUCUUAUCUUAUGAAUACUAAUGCUACCCUUUAUUCUGAUCUAGGUAAUUUCCAUGAAUGUUUGACUCGGUCCUGGGAGCUAGACUCAGGGCGUGAGGCGAGUUUGGUUUCUACUAGGUCAAUUCAAGAAUUCUAUGGAAAAGAUAGAGAUUCAAUAAAUUCCGUAUGGACUUCAGACUGAACAAGCUACGGAGGCAAAACAAAGUGCAUUAGAUUAGGAGUUGAGCAUCUGACCUUCUAACAAAAAAGAGUUAACCUCCAAAAGCAACAGAACAAGUAUCGGCAGAAGCAAACAAGUUCUUUGAAUAAAAGUCCAAGGAUAGGGGUAGAAACGAGAAAGAAUCAACGGCUGACUCUCAGUCCUAGGUCUAUCUAUGUUCUUAGGCUAAAUGCAUUAUAAAGAGAGUUUCAUUGAGGGGAGAUUAGCAAUUAAGGAGUGGAACAUAGGUUAACAACGUGAAAUAGGGCUGGGUUAACCGCCACGGUCUACUGAAAGAGGUGAUUGUGCUCUCGUAUCAAAUAAAGAAGAAAGAAUGCGACGCCCCUUUGAGAAUACCCACGUUAUCUCUUGUAAAUGCAGGUGGAAGAAGAUCAGGUGAAAUAGAAUCCGUUUUGAGUUUUCCGGAGAAUUCCCUUUGCGUCUAACCUCUCCUGCCGCGCCACAUUAUACUAAGCUUGGCCAUGCUUCUGUAUCAGUUUCAUUCAAUUGACUGGCAGCCCUGGGAAAAGUUGUUGAAUGAAUUGAGGACAAUAGAAAACUCUCUUGUCUGCUUGGCCAGGAGUUGAGUUUUGGAAACAGGAGUGAGGCUAGCAAUAUGAUAUUAGUUUCGUUCAUAUUCUAUUCCAUCUCUUUCUUGAGAGUCAAAUAAGCUGUGUUGCGCUAACGUGAGUUGAGCGUUAUUGCGUUUUCGAGUGAGUAAGGAGAGUGUGUUAUUUGACUGGAUUCUGUCAUUACCACUUCAAAAGCAUACAGUACAACAGAAAAGCAAACUACAGUGGAAAAGCAUACAGUACAGCGGAAAGUCAGAGCAAACUACAGCGGAAAAGAAGAGCAACAUGGCGCCCCCCAUUAGAAUUCGAACUUCAUGGUUUCAGUGUGGAGUUAAUCAAUUAAAUAAUGUGCUACUUAUUUUCAUUAAUGAAUGGAACAGCGCUAACAUGGGCAAGAAGUAACGUACUAUUAUAACAUAACAAGUAAGGACGGACAAGAAGUAACGUACUAUUAUAACAUAACAAGUAAGGACGUAUUUCUUUGGGUUCAGCUACAACAAAUACUUUCUCGGAAACUUUCCUUUUGCAGCUGUAGACUCAAUUCCCAUCUUUUACUGGUUUCGUUCCUGCCCUCUUCUUGCCUCAUUUGAAUACUUUCAAGCUCGGUUCCGUUCCUUAUGUGGGAACUUUUCUUAUCUCCAAUUCUUCCCCUUACACGAAAUAUGCUUUAAGCUCUUCCCUUAACCAUCUUCUGUUUCUGACUCUUCAUCUUGCUUGCUCUCUUCUGGGAUCCCCUUUCUUUCAUUGAGGUUUCCUAUCUUUGUUGUCUUAGGUUAGUUAUCUCUGCUCGAAAGGAGGUUACUGCCCGAGCCGAGUGAUACAGUUCCUUCUUCUGUGUAGGAGUACCUUUAUUGCAGUAACUAAGUAUUUUCAUAAAGAGUAAGUAUCCGCCUUUGCUAGGUCAAGUGUACCUCUAUUCUUUCCAAUCCUUAUUCCCUGCUGUAUUGGGGAAAUUCUCGUAUCUCGGUAUCUCUUCCCUAUUGUUAGCUUAAGGGAAGGUUCGACAAAGAGGGUAUGGGGCCCGGCCCCUUCUUGAUCCGCUUAAGAGCGCACACAAGACAAGACGUGAUUAUGCCCAUUAAGGUCCCCUAGUUAGGUAUCCGCUCUAAUGUACCUCUUAUUCCUAUUCUCUGACUUUUUCUCUAACUUAUACUAUGUAUGAUAGAUAGAAGACAGAUAUUCAUUAUACUAUGUAUGAUAGAUAGAAGACAGAUAUGAAGCUGGAAAAUAAGCAGUUAGGUAACAACAUUCUUUACCUGGUGCUCAAUAAGAUAGAUAUGCAAUUCCAGAUAUUCUACAGCUGAACUUGCUGCUGACGACUUAAUCGCUUCACCUUUUCUUCAUCGCUACACUGCAGAUUCGAUUUCUUUUGCUUCAGAUCAGGAAACGGAGCUCUUCUCUUACCCGGCCUCUUCUCCUUCUCUUUCAACAGCGGAAGAUACUUCUCAAGUUUCUGAUCUCGGAGACUACACUCGAAUAAGAACGGAACUUUGAGUGUGGACCCGCCAACAAAUACAGACGAAACUCCUGCUGGCAAUUCUCCACAGAACCUUGCUUCAACGCCCGUACUUGACUCUGCCCGGCCAGUACUUUAUUCUGAUCCUCCGCUUCUUCUUUUUCUGGAACUUCAACUCUCACUACUGGGGAUUCUUUUUCUUCUGAUCCUCGAACAGGCUUUCAGCACCUUACUUUAGAACUUGAACUACUCCUGACUCCUUUACUUAAAGAACAAAUAUCAGCACCCUUUAUAUUACUUACUCCCUUUCUAUUACUUACUCAAUAUCAGCACCCUUUAUAUUACUUACUCAAUAGGCUACUCAAUGAAAUACUUGACUGAGAGCAGAGUAGGCUAUCCGAACUCUCUUCACAGUAGAACAGUAACAGAGACCAUUGCUCGAAUUCCCUUAACUGAGAUUAAUCAAAUCAUAUAUAUCCCAUUCUUCCUUUUACGUCGUUUAACCUAUGGUAAACUAAUCCAAUUAGGAAUCACCCAUUUGGUAUGAAAUAAGUGAUUAUCCAUUUGAUGAGUUAACAGUCCUUCCACUUAGAGAAAUAAGCCUUCUUGCCCUGCCCUGAACCUUGAUUAUGACCUUUUAUGCAAAUGAGAGUAUCUUCAAGCAAGGGAACCAGCAAGCGAAGCGCAUCUGAACUGAAGCAUCGUAUCUUUCUGUUCGAGGUCAAAUGGAAAGUGUAGUUUCAAGCGUUAGUGAGCCCCGAGUAUAUAGAAGCAGGGUAAUUAGGGAACAAGAGCGAAUUCCAUUCAAUUCCACCAAGCAAAGGGUAGACCUAAAGCCCUAGUGCGCCGGGCAGUAACUAAAAUCAAGGGUGCCUAUACUUGACUCCUAAACUCGCUAACGCUUAUUGUGUUCCUUAGGGUCGUGGAAGCCUCCCUUUAUGGGGCGAUAAAUCAAUCCGCCUUUUCUGAAGCGAUUAGUACAUUAGCCUUCAUAUGAGUGGAACAGAGGUCUGGAGACGAGAAAGAAGUCGUUAAGCGGUUUCAAGGCAAGUAAGCGGGGCGGGAUAUCCGGUUUACAGCCCCGAGCCGAGAAGAAGGCUAAAGUCAGAGUUGAGUAGAAAGAGAAGGAUAAGAAGCUUAUGCCUGGGCGGGUCUGUCGAAAUCAAAGUGAGGGUGUUGAAGCAGAAGUGGAAGAAUAAGAAUCCCAAAAUGAAGGUUCAGUUCCAGUGUUGCGGUAAGGGUAAGAUCAUCUGUCUCAAGUGAGUCAACAGCAAGCGCUAAGGAAGCAGCAAUAUACGACAAAAGCAGAACUGGUCGACUUGUCUAGUAUUGGCGGAAUGAAAACUGCUUCCCUUUCUUUGGAAUCUGAUCCCACUUUCCAAUAAUGCUUCUAAUCUUUCUUAAGAUCCUUCUCCUUCUCUGGCUUAAGCUUCUUCCUUCUCAGGUCCUCUGCGCUUUCCUUCCUUUCUGGUUUUCUUGCGCCUACCUGCACUCUUCUGGAGGCGGGCUCUUAUUAGAUCAGUACCCGUUUGAGGUAAAGGGGUAGGGUCCUGUUUACCGAGUCGGGUGUACUUGAUUCAAUUCGAAAUCUCUUACCCAACCACCUUUUGGAUUUGAGUAAUGAGCGAGUGGUAUUUCUCUUUAGAAAGCUCUCUCUUACUAUGCUCCAAUUCUCCAUAAAGUAUAGGGUUUAUUAGUUUCCGUAAGUUAUUUAUCUCUCAUAGGAGUAUUAGCUGUUUUAAGUGGGCUACUCAGAUUCCUCACAUAUUUGUCCUAUAAUUUCAUUCGUCUGUGGUUGACUUGUUUCGAGUGUAUCUGUCUGAGGGAAUGUAUCUCUUAUGAAAGAGGUAUCUUCACGAGUGUUACAGUUCCUCAUCGUUUCUAGUCAAAUACUCCUUAGUUUUGGUAAGUUGUUUCAUUAAAGAGUUGGAAUCCGCCUCUCGAAGGUCUAUAGGCUCCCCCCGAAGAUAAAUGGUUGGUAUUCGUUGUGAAAAGGCAUGGCUAUUUGAAGUUUUAGGUAUUGGGCGUAUCAUGAUUGAUUUUUCCUAUAUAUGUCUGAUGCUUCUAUGAGCUGCUAAAGUACCCUAACCGACAAGCAAGCCACUUGUUUCUUUCGCCAAGUAUACAUAUCACAGGUUGAACUAUUACCCCCAAGUAUCUAUAUUACAGGUUGAACUAUUACCCUAUUUUGGCUAUUCCCUUCCACUGCCUUAUGCUUGUUUAGAGUGUCCUUUCCUCUGUAAGUUUCCCUCCUUCUUGUUUCCCCCCUUCUAUAUGUGAGUUCAAUGAUUUUAUUGACUGAUGACUUCAACACAAGCGUAAGCACUCUAACUGUGAGAUUACACUCGACCAGUCACUAUACAGUGUGGGUCCAAUAACUAUCUGGCAUUGAAUGAAGUUCAUUACUGUUAUCGGCGAGCGUUCUAAUCAUUCGUUUUUGCGUCCUUUUACCGAUGUUCAACUCAUUUGAUGAGAAAUUACCCACGACACCUAAGAUCAAGAGCGUAUCUUGCUUUCGAUGCCCUCUCCUUUCGUUUCCGCUUUCGCCAUCUCCUGUUGCUGAUCUGGCUUCAUAAUAAAUGACUUCAGACACUUAUAGGGCGAACCCUACGCUUUUUCUCUUGCUGGUGCUGUUGAACUCGCCCUCUCGUUGAGAAUCGCAUAAGGAGACUCCACUUUACGUUCAGACUGUUUUGUUGUUUGACCUGAUCCUUGAGCACAUCUUCUUAGAAAAUGCACUUUUGGAUUUCUCUCCCCCACUCGCUCCAUUUUAUCUCAUUGCUUCUUGUUAUAUUGGUGGAACGGAACCUUUCCUGUUUAUACUUAACAUAUUCUUAAGAUUCAUGUAUCGCUGACAGAGCACCUUUAGAAACCUGUAUCGCUUACAGAGCACCUUUAGAAACAAACUACAACAAAAGCUACCCCGCUUGUAUGCUAUGUCAAAAGUAGAAUGUUGAAAAAAGAGUAGAUAAUCCUAUAGUUGUGAAUUGUCGAAAUAGAAACCCUUGACUCCUACAUAACUCCUAAAGGAUUUCCAUAACAACAUUUGGGAUGUUCCCCAAAAACUAGCACAUUAAAUUAGAGAAAGAUAGCUAGAAAGAUGAGUUGAAUGAAGACAUUCCGCACGGAGUUAACGAAUAUAAGUAAAAAGUGGAAUCUGAAUGACUUUAUCGGUUGUAGCGGAACUCAGAGUGCUCAUAACUACCUUAAUUCUCUUAGUAAUAUAAUAAAGACGAAAUUCUCUCAGUAAUAAAGACGAGAUUCUCUCAGUAAUAAAGAGACUAUGGAAGAAGAUCAUCUGCUUGAGGAAGAACACAUAAGGGUAUCCAGCAAUCAAUCGGUUCCUAAAGUAGAGUGCGAAAGGGGAGUUCAGGAUCCGUAUCUUCCCGCGGGAUAAUAAGCUAGAUAAGUAGAAGAAGCGGGUGAGUGAAAUCCAUUAUUGGAAUGAAUUGUAGCUUGUGGACUUCUCUUGUGGACUUAUCUUCUGGAACUCAACUUCAAUGAAAGAAAACAUGCUAUUGUUCAUGUUCACGCCUCAGCGACUAAGGAAUUUGGAUCUAUACCGCAUAGUCGGCAACAGAGCAUGAAAACACCUGGACCGAGUGAAGCUGCUUGAAGGGAAAGUAAUAAGUAGUGAGUCAGAGCAAGUAGUGAGUCAGAGCGGGAAAGGGUCAUGUCAUCUUUAUAGGAUAGGCCGCUUUAGAACUUACGAUAGGGUCGGGUACCUCGAUUAAGGGAAGUAGGUGUGUUACAUGAGCAUAGUUGAGUUUCACCACAGACUGUUCAAUGACUAGAAAUCGGGUUGACAGUCCCGAGUAGUCGUUUUGUAUAGUUAUGGGCUUGACGUCCACGAGGAGAGGUGAUUGAUGGGCUUGCUUUUAGUUAGGGUAGUGGUCGACCAGAAGUUGGUAACCACAUCCUUUCACCGAUGUUCAACUUGGAGAAUUGCCUUAUUUCGCUCUAGCUCAAAGUACUUAAUACGAGUAUAUUAAAGCAAGGGAAGCAGUGAAAAAGAUCUGAAGAAAGAGAAUCAGAAAGAUCUGAAGCCGCAAGCGUUGGUGUUGCUCGAAAGUAAGUUCCAGUUAUCAAGUUGUCUCCGAGAGAAUCAUCCGCCCGUGAGUCGAGUUACAGAAGAAGAAGGAUCUGAUCGUGUUGUCGGUUCUUCAAAGUAGAGAAUAAUAAGAAAUUACAGGAUAUAAAGCUGGGUCAGAGUAAGAUGACAGGGGAUUAAUCGGCUAAAAGAGUUACUGUUGCUGUUGCGCUAACGGGAGCAAUAGGAUAGAGAAAAGAACAAGAUAUAAAAGAGCCAUUGAAAUAGAGAAAGUAUGAAUUCCACCUUAGGGAUAGAUCUAGCGGAUUGUAUUAUAGAUCUAGCGGAUUGUAUUAGUAGAAGUCCCAUGUGUUAAGCAAUGAUACAAUAGAUAACCCUUGUGGGGGGAACUCCUGGCUUCUCUCACUUGAACUAGGAACUCGAACUAACACGGGGUGUCGACAAUACUUUUCACUACUACCGGAAAGACUUAUACCCUAGCGCAUACAGGAAUCGUCUUUUGGACAACUUCUCAUAACAACCUCUCGCAACAGGGGAUCGAAUCACUGCUAAUAGGGUUAUAGCCCAAACCCGAUAACUCCACUAUUACCUUUAAGAUUAUAUAACCGGAAACUAAGGCUUUAGCUACUGAUCCGGGGUUUGGUGCCCCGAGGGGUAGUCCACAAAGAAUUCCACUUUAAGCUGGCUUCUCUACUUACUAUACCUCUCAAACUUAUACCAGCAAUCCUUCAAGGUAGGCUCACAAUUCACACUUUUCAAUUCCAUUAUGAUUUCUUGCAAGAGUACUAUAAGUCAACUAAUUCCAUUCUUAUGAGACCCCUCUCGAAACUAUACCUCUAGAAACUAUACCUCUUGCCACUCCUUCCCUAGCUACUUUCCUAGACUUUUAAAGAGAUAAUAACCUCAAAGAAUUCAAGCGAUAAGAAUUGGAAUUCAAGCCGGUUUUCUUCGUACUUUAUAGCUCAGCAGACUUCAUAGAAAAAGACUAUUAUGGAGUUUGAUACCUUCCCUGGGAGUCUGGCUUUACCUUUGUUGUCUACGAGUCCCUGUAGUUCCUUGUCGUAGCGUAGAGAAGUUAUUGGCUGUUGGGCUGGCUGGGUGCCAUAAUCAAGGUAGGUAUACAACUGUCCCGCUGUUGCUCCUUGCCUUAGAGUGGAAUAUGAUUGUAAUCUAGGUUCUGUUGCUAGUUUGCUUAAAGUUCUCAUUUAUGUGCUAGUUUGCUUAAAGUUCUCAUUGAUGCAGCUUCCUUUACGUUAAGCGUAGGUAAGAUGGCAUUCAAGCAGGGUUCAGGGCAGCAAGCUAUAAGUAAACCAUAGAUGGAGAGGAAGCGGAUUCCUAUUGAUCAUCAGCUGGAUAAAGAUUAGAAGCUCAAAAUGAUCAUUUGAGGAGCUUUUAGGAAGGGUUUAUAGGUCAUUUCCUACAAUGGAAGUUUCCCAUAGAUUCCACUUAGCAAAAGACCUUAUCAAGCGCUUAGCACUGAGGUAUCGUAUUAACAAGAAAGGCGAAAGUAGACGAUAACUCUCUGUUAGCGCAAAGGCUUGCUUGUUCCUAAGCGUGUUCCCUGCCUAAACACAAUAAACGUUAGCGCAAAGGCAACUGAACUAUAAGAAGCUAAAGAACAUGAACAAGAAGCAACAGAAUAUGAACAAGCUACAGAACAAGAAGAAGCUUAGGCAAUAGAGCAAUAAUCAAUAUUAACUCUUAUCCAGGACGAGGCUGCUCUCAAUCUUCUAUUCUUGAAGCAACAAGUCCCUAUUGCGCUAAGUACUGAGUUUUGGGUGUUAACGUACUAGUCCUAACCCUUUCUUUUCCGCCCUUUUGCGUUGUUGAGUUCUUUGCAUUAGCGCGUUUGUGCUUGGUUGGUUUCGGGUGCUGGAGCUUAUUGGAGUGGAGAGUGUCCGAUAUGAGUGAUUCCAGUAGUUAGUCAGCAGUUGGUUUACCAUCUUGAUUUAUAUGUCCCUAAGCAGUUAGCGGUGAGGAAGCUGUUCCAGUAUUAGUUUACGAGAUCUUAAGCUGUGCUUGUGGUAUCUGUUUGAAAGUGGUGCAGGAUAUGUAGCCUAAGAAUGGCCAGUGAAAGUUGUUUACCUUGCUGGUUCCUUUGCUCUUUGACUUUUGGAAUGUUAGUUCGCCUAAGCUGCUUGUUUGCCGGGACGUUACGGUGAGUUCCUGUUUUCAGCUUACGUUGAAUUCCAGUUUUCAGCGCCGAGUAAGUAGCCACAAAAGUUCUAAUGGGAGUUUUUCAAGGAAAUGUAGCAAUGCAGUCAGCUGUUUCUUUUUCCAGAAGAUAAGCAAAGAGGCCAGGCCAGGAGGAUGGAAAUGGAAAGCAAGUAAGGAGUCAGCAGGAGUAAGGAUAAGGAUCGAGUUUAGGGAAAGCAGAGAGUUCUCAGUUGGAUUAAUCUAUUAUAUGUAGGGUGCACUCCAAUUCUUUAAGGAAGGGAACAAGCCACAGAAGAGACCUGACCUCCCCAAUUUGGUACCGUACGCCUCCAGAAUCCACGCUCGCGCUUGAGGAGAGAAGAGACGAGAACUCAAGGAAGAGGAAGCUUGGUGCCCUUCGUACCUUCCAAUCAUCUUCCCCAGCUGUAGAACCCCAAGAAAAAGAAUGGCUAUAAGAAAACCCUCCGAAACACAACCCCCUAGCCGAUUAAAGAGGAAGCGGAAAGACGUAUUAAGUACCAUUUGGUAAAGGGGAUAAGAAUCGAAGAUCGAGACCAAUAGAAUAGAUGGUCUUAUCGAAAGAGGACAAAGGACGGCCAAGGACCAAGAAAAGUAUUUUAUUUAAAGUAAAGAAAGAAAAGAAGGAAUAGCGGGAUGCUAUAGAGAUGGAUGGCUAUGAGACUAGUGAAAAUAGUCCUUUUUAUACAAAGGUAUACUUCGACUUGUGGUAUCUCCCUUACUGAACUAAGAGAUAGCCUUAGCCCCCAAGAACUCACUUCGACGGCUGGGACACUUCCUUAAAGAAGAGAGUAAGUAUGGUUUAUCCUUCUGGGACACUUCCUACUGGAAUAAGUAUGGUUUAUCCUUUUAGAGGUAUGGGUUUGUUUGGAGGUUGACAGAGGGAUGAAAGCUCAGACUUGGGGGUUUCCCUUACGAAAGCACUCUAGUCAUUCUUGUUCGAGCUAAUGGGUGAUAGGUGUCACCGUUCUCCCUUCGAUCCUUCCUACUUGGCUGGCCCAUCCAGAGUGCGACUUUUUUGCUUUCUUUUCUUUUAUAGUAUGAGUAUGACUUUGUUUGCUUUCUUUAUAGUGAGCCCAGCCCGGCCCGUGAACAUCAAUUCAGAAAAGGCCGGGUAGAGGUCUAGUUCCUUCGUUGAUCGCCGCUUACUCUGUUUUCCUAACCACUCUUAUAGCCUAACGCUUACCCAAGAGUUCACUUACUCCGCUGCUUGGGAGAUCGGGGUCCCUUUCUCGUCUAUAGCUCUUAAACAAAGACGGAUUAGCGGCACGAUUCGUAUUAGCAUAGCAGACUUCUCUUCUUUCAAGCGGUUUCCCUCUUGUUACUGUUAAUUCCUAACAUAGCAGCUAUCUUUUCAGUCACACGUAGACCGAAGGUACUGGGCCCUUAUGGAACAGCUAUAAUUCAAUAGGCUUAAUUAGUUCUUCCCCUGGAUUCUUUCCUUACUUGACUCCCAGACUUUGUCACUCGCCGCAUCCUUUCCUUACCUUAGGUCCACUACAGCUUUUAAAUGGGUUACUACGGGUUCUAUCCUUUUGGUUCGACAUCCUGUCCAAACCCUUCUCAUCUUUAUCAUAAGAAGACUGCCAAUGCAUCUAUUCGCUUCCUCCCAGAACUCCUAACUCAUUGGUUAACUCGCUUUGUAUCUACCUUUCUUUUAUUCGGUACACUAAUGUUUUCUUUUCUUCGUUCGAAGGGCUCUAUCUUGGCCGUCCUAUUCUUGUCCAGUCAAUACUGAUUCUUUCGUUAAGAGUUCCGCGCUUUCCUUUCCUUCUUUGGGUGGUAUAAUAAGGUAAGAAAUCCGUUCUCUUCUUCGAGAAGAAGCCGCUUAUACCUUAUAAGAAGGAGUUAUCGGUUCACCAGUCGUAGUCGGGCAGACAUUGAUCGGUUCAUUGAGACCGGACUAGCAAAGGUGCGAAUCCUUUGACGCCAGAGGAAAAAAACUCCAUGGCAACUAAGGCGUAACGGCUUUCCGCCCUGCCUAGGAAACCUUCUGUGGAAUCGUCGAAUACUUAAAAGAGGCCCCGUCGUCUAGGACAGAGAGGCUGGCAGUAAGAAGGAAAAUGUCUCCUAACCCAAUCGAAGAGGUUCUUCUUAAGCUGCAUUUAUAUACAAUUAGCUUUCGUUCUUCCCAUCGAAAGUGUUUGUUUUUAUAUGAAAGCAACUUGAAACUGCUUGAAAAGGCUCUCAUGCUACUUUUAGGCAUCUAUUAUUUAGAUGAACAUAAACCUCCGAAGCAGAAGAUUGAUAAAGCACUCUGGGAUUAGUGUAGCUUAGAGUCUCCUUGUUAUCAGAUUACCUAAGUGAACGGCUCCGGACUCGCUAGCUGGAUGCAAAGAUCCGAUCCCCACUUGAACUAGAUAUAGAACAAUAUACCUCCAUGAAAACUCUAACCCUGCGGAAUGGUAACACUGAGCUGUCUUGCUUCUUCGACGAGAAUCCGACGUUCCCACCCCGCUAAGAAUCUUUGGAAAGUGAUGAAGCAGUGGCGCAGGGAUCGCCGUCGCCUCCGAUCUACGAAUCUUUGGAUUAGUUGUGGGGCGUAGUGGAACUCAUGAAUACUGAUUGAGUUUCCGCGAGACAAGGCCAAUGGAAAGAGCCCUACGGAGUCCCGGCAAGACAAAUAAGCGAUUAUUACUGUCAAGACAAAUCCGCUAUUAUUAAAGUAUAGUACCCGGAGCGUCAGUCCAGCUUAGUGAAAGAAGUGGCCUUACUCAAACGAUCGAACAAGUAAGACACCAGCAGCUAUGUUUUUUCACCGUCAGAGCACUGGGACCCAUCUUCUUUUCUUUCUUUGGAAGAGGACAGGUGCCCUUCCCGACACUCUCUUUGCUGCUCGGCGAUGGCGAUCAAGAAGGUAAGGAGGUCGUGAGGUCGACUAGACAGAAUAGGCUAGCGUAUCAAUCUCAAUAAGGCUCGAUAUAGACCUCUUCUUCUGCAUUCUUAUACUCGAAGAAAGUAGGCUCAAUCGGAGUAGUACUCUUUUCCACUACUGUACGAACCCAUAAGUGAGUGGUAGUGGUACAAACACCCAUUAGGCUCUCUUAGUGGGGCGGCCCCCUUUUCGAUCCGAUCCCUGUUCUCGCAAGAGUAGGAGCAGCAGGCCCUAAGCAGUGUUACGGGUUCAGUCAUGAAAAAGAAGUAGCUCGGAAGAUGGAUUUGAAACCCUUACCCUUGACACCCGAGGCUUCACUUCAUAUGGCUAGCCACCGCCUUCCAGGGAAGGUGAAUGAAGAAUAGAAUGAAUCCUUCUUUCGAGCGGGAACUCCAAAUCUUAUCAGAACUUAAGCUGGUGCUAUACUAAGACCUCUGCCCUACGCUGGUUACUCGCGAGCUCUUGCAGUUUCGUUUAUAGGAUAGGGACUGAGAAGGAGGAAAAGAUACAGAUGCACUCACUAACCACCUAAUUCGAAAAAAGGAGAAACAUAAGCCACCUAAUUAGAUAAAAGAAGAAACAUCGUCUUGGCUGGUGACAAAGAUAGCAAGGGGAGCAGGCAGUAUACGUCUUGGUAGGGUGAGCUAGGUAGGAGGAGCGAAUAGGAUGGGUCUUUACUUGAUGCUAUUCCCGCGUAUGAUUGAGCAAAAGCAGCACAGCGGAGGACUUUCAAUCCAAUUCAUAUGGCUCUGAGAAUAGUUUGGUGUACGAGCACUGCCCACCCCUCCAUCCAUCCUUUUGAAGACUUCUUUCUCUUCUGGCUUUAUUCUCUAGAAUUCUUUUGCAAUUCCUCUGAUUUUGCCUUUUCCGAUGUUGAUGUGAGGACCGGAAGGGAGAAAGAAUGAGUGAGUCCCAUAACCUCCAUCGAGAUCCAAUGGUAUAAAGUCUCAUUGUAUAGAAUCCCCGUUUUCCACGCAAGUAAGAAAAGAUUGACACCUAAUGAAUGGUUUGGUUAGAGUAACCAGUAAACCUUUGUGGUUCCCUAUACCAGUAAACAGAGGUUGCUUCUUUAAUGGUUUCGUUUCAUGGGAUCCCUUGCUUUGGUGGAACCGUGGACUCCUUAACGUGGUCUAACAAAGAGUUCGGCCUAAGAAGAAGGCAGGUUAGACAUCAUUCUGGUUAACCAUUACUCUAUUCUCGAGUUCUGACUUUCACUAAUGGACUCUAUGACCCUGCCCCAGUCAUUAUGAAGUUGAAUCACUCAGUGCAGAACCUUGAAGACGCAGUCUAAUCAUCCAUCCUUUCUCUGGAGCAAGCGUGUAAGAUUCGGGUUGAGGGCUACUCCAUGUUCCAAGUGGUCCAACGGUCAAAUAGGCGCUGAAAAGUGCGAACGUUACCACCUUUGGUAAAUAAUCAACGUCAAGAAAUGAAAGAUGAGCUGUACGAGAUCCAAACAAUUCUUGCGAAGGACCAAGGAAAUGAGCAAGCAAAGCAGCGAUGGUAUAUUAACUUAAUGCUAAUGCUAAAGCAGAGAAAGCAGGAUCAAAGGAAGCGAAGCUUUUGAAAAGGCCUUCGGUAUCAAUUGCCGGAUGAAUGAAGUGACAGCCAAAGAAAGGAAUGAAAUGCUAUAUUCAAUUGGCCUUCGCCCACCGCAACUCAGUGCUUAAAGAUAGGUUGAUUUACCUGCCGACGGAGACCUCCAUGCCAUCUUUGGCUCUUCUCUUUUCCGCUUUGACAUGACAUUAGCACAUUCCUUCUAAACCUUUGGCAUUGCACGAAUCACCUCUUUCGGAAUCGAAUCGAGCGGGGCCCACUUGAAAACUGUUGCUAUGGUCUCGCUAUGCUAAGCUAGCUUGGUGAAGAACGCGCCUAAAGCUACAAAGGCAAAGCACGUGGAAAAAGCUAUAAGAGAGGCCUUGAUAGUACGGUAACAAGUCGGUGGGGAAGGGCCCUGCUGAAUGGGGCAAAAGUGUUCCAAAUAGGAAAGUGAACGAUGCCUCGAUAUCUACCAAUGCAAAAGGAUCUUUAGGCCCGAUCACAAGGUCAAGAAAAAGGACUCCACUCAACCCACCCUAUUUGGUUUGAUUAUCUAUGGAAUUGAGAGUUCGCUUUAAUGCUAGCUUCACGGGUUUAUGUAAGUAGAUAAAGGCAAAUUCGCAAUAUAGCUUUAAGCUCAUAAAUGUCUUUGGAAGACCUGGCAUGAUUCCGACCGUCUGAAUUUGAAGACUAGUGUUCCCACUUUAUCAGCCUUUGGAUUGUCAAGCUAGUCAAACGAAGAAACCUUUGUGGUCUCCUACAGAUGUCAUGAACUACCUGCGAGGUAUGAAUGGCCAGAUUGAGAAUAUUGUUACGGAUAUGCAGUCGAUUAGAACGUUACCACUCCAGGAGGGCCGGGACAAUCUUGAAGUGUUUGCAAGGACCCCCACUCAAUCGGCUUUUUCAAGUUGGCUGCUGGCUCCACCUUCGAAAAAGGUUACAGGGCCUUCACUGCAACCAGGAGUUCCGAUCAAUUCCUUAGCUCUGACAUCCCAACACGCGGAGGCUUCCUCUUCAAAGGCCUAAACCUCCUAAAGUGUAGAAAGAGCUUUAUUACCCGCCCCCACAUUCAUUAGGGGCUUGACUCUACUCUUUGGCCCUUGCAUUUAACAGCUCCACGGUCAUAGCAUUUCCAUAGAAGUCCGUACCGAAUUCAAUCAAUAUCAUGGCUCUUAUACACAGAUCGGGGCAGUAAAGAAAGCGGGUGGGAUCAGGUUUAUGCGAGAAUACCAUGAAACCCAUUUGAGCCACAUCUGAAUCUAAUUAUGGAUGAGAGUAAGCUCCAGGAUCUCACGUUCUCCAUCAAAGAGAAACUCGUAAGGCUUAAACCGAAAGAGUAUGGUUCCAUAACUCUUUCUAAGUUCCUUUCGAAGCCAGUAAACUAGAAGCCCUUUAGAUAAGGGCCCGACCAACCCACUAUUACAUUAGACUCAAAAAAGCCCAUACAAAGUUAACACCUAGGAAGAAAAUGGCAUAUGCUCUUUGAUAAUGAAGAACCAGAGGACGGGGAAUGACGAGAGAAUUGAGCAUACCAUGACGUUGUUAGGAUCUCGGCCUAUAUUGCCCUGGCCGGUAAAUGCGCCGAGCCUCUAAAAUAUAUGUUAUUCCAUGACCCCCUGUUGGUCCUAUACAUCUUACCCGCUACCAGGAAAAGAAUUGCAAUAGCUAAAUGCUGGUGUGCAAUAUCGGUAAACCAUAGACCCCAAGUUCUGGAUCUAAUCCUCUGCGAAAAGUCAUAAAUGGCAAUUCAAGGUGCUAAAUUGGGUUGCUCCCUCGGCAUGGGAUAAAGUUGAGACAAAAGCUCCCGAUUCAAGAGAAAUUCAUGAGGAAGUGGAAUCUCUUUAGGAUCUACUCCAGCAUUUCUCAAUUGAUCAAUCGGUAAAGAAAGAUUGACUUGAUUACCUGCCCAAGAAAGAGACCAAACCCAGUCCUAGUAGCCCUGCGAAAUGGUGAUUCAACAUGGAUUCUACAUCUUUGAACCGCCUCUUACUCCUCUCUGCUAACUCUCAAUCAGGUGUUAAAGCCUAUAACUAUAUUAGUGAAAUACCGGUAACUAGACUAUUAAGUAUAAGAAUUAGAAUACAACAAGUACAUAGCAACCAAUUAAUACCGAUGAACAAAGCACUUGGCUCUUAUCUCUUAUUAUAGGAGAACACUAACUCGCAACCUAGACUAAACUCGCUAGCUCCUUUGCCAGCCUGCCUACCUCCCUCAUGCCAACACACCUUACCUUACUUUGUCUCCGGGUGGUUACCUUCGCUUAGUAGCAGAAUUAGAUACUUUGUAACUGUUGCUUGUUCCGAGUCAAUACUUUCUUAUCUUGCACACAUGGUAUAGAAGAGAAGGUUUUUAAAGACAUAGAGAGCUUAGCUUCCCUUUCUUAUGAAUCAGCCUGAACUUGAAUGCGAAGACUCAAACCUUUACCAACAAGACUCAUUGUAUAGAUAGGCAAGACUCUCAAGUGUUUUGUGCGAUAGUAGCAUCUUUAGUAUCUACCCCAUAUGGAGCCAGCGUCGCAGUUUAGCAUGGCGUGCCUAUCCGCUUGUGCUUUUAGUGGUUAUUCGAUUAACCACCCUAGAAAUCCAAAGAGUCUCCUUCCGAGUCAUAUUGUGUUGUGCCUGCAUUUGCAGUCUGCUUCGCUGAGCGCACUUCUUUCUUCUGGAGCGGAGCGGCGCAUACCAAGAGAACACUCAAGAGUUGAACCUUAGUACUCAAGUAUUCAAGUCAGUAGACUGCCCGCCCCCACACGUCUUAUCUUUUGGGAUUCCCUUUCUUUAUAGAAAAGUGCUUUCUCACUUACGGCGACCUACGAGUAUAUGCGCCUGAAUCUCCAAUCACAUAAUUUAGGUAAAGAAUGAUUUACACCCAACUGGUCAAUAACAGACCGAGACACUUAUGCUACGGAAGAUCCCCAAUUACAAUAUCAUUACCAAGGAGAGCAUAUAACGCUUGAAAACACGAUUAGGAUAGACCGCGCAGUACCACACAAUGAAGGAAGUGAUGGCAAAGAAGAGCGGCCAAGAAUCUAGGAAUCCCAAUGGUAGGCCGGGAGCAAAACGAAUGAGAUGGCUGGAAUCGAGUCGACGAUAAUCACAAGAGGUCUCUGCCAAGAGAGAGAGAAUACAUGAAUGCCAAGACCACACGCAAACGCUGUGAGCCGAUGAAACUUCGAUAAUAAGACCGAGGAAAGGAGUCAGUGUCCGACGAGAAAUCGAAAGAAAAGAGUGCAAUUCCAAUAUCUUCUGGACUGGAAUGGAAGAAUGGAAUUGAAGGGGUGGAACUCCAUUCUUUAAAUAAGUCAUUUACUUCUUCUUCUGGAAUGCCUUUUCUCUAUUCUAUGCUAGGUAUGGAAGUUGCUUUUACGAGGCCGGCCUUACUUGUGAUGAUAGUGUUGUAGAGUUUCGCUGUUAGGUUUGAAGGACAGUCCGCAAUGCUGCUAGUAAAUAAUCAAUAUAUUGGAAGUUUUGAAUUAGUCUGAGCACAGACCCAGACCUUAUAUCAUCUGUUAAUGGUUUCGCUCCCUGACUAGAUUAUUGCAAGCUGUUGGUUGCCCUACUAUAUUGUAGAUUAUUGCAAGCUGUUGGUUGCCCUACUAUAUUGCUCGUCUAAAUUCUCUUGUAAGGUAUCAAUAAGCUAAAGUCGUAUAUUUCACAAGUAAUACUCUAGCGGAGAAAGGAAUGAAGUCAAGACAACUGCUCUUAAAGAAGGGAGUUAAGUCAAGACAACUAACAGCUAUAGCAACGGUCUUUCCCUCUUAUAUCUAUCUUAUAUACUAGCUUAGGGCUUUCACCUUAUAUACUUGGUUAAGGCUUGAACAACUUCUUUUCGACUCGGUAAAGUCUCCCAUCUUGUAUACUCGGUAAAGUCUCCCAUCUUGUAUACUCGGUCAAAAGUGUCUCUUGUUUUGUUUUGUCUACUCGGUCCUGGUUUUGUCUACUAUAUUGCCUUGAAUGUGUGCCUAUCUUCCAUUCCUUAGAGAGCAAGUAAACAAGCUCCGGAACAAGUGCGUUAGUGAAUUCGGUAGCUCUGUUCACAAGCCCAACAGUAGUUGAUUGACAAAGGUAUAAAGUAACGUUAAAGUACAGUUCCAGUAUAAUAAGUAGCUGCCGUUUGGAAAGAUGCUAACCUUUCUUCUUUCUCUGGAGCCAGGCAAUAAUCAAAUAAGUAGUCUAGUUCCGGACUAUAAAUGAGUUGAGGGGAACAAGCAACGUUCCUAAGUGCGAACCUUUCUUUAGACGUUCCUAAGUGCGAACCUUUCUUUAUUCUCUAGGGUAUUGAUGCUACCGCUUGAUUCUCGUUUUCGGGUGCCUUGCCUUAGUAGUGUUUCACUCUUUGGUGACUUUCUUCUUUGGUGACUUUAUUAUAUCAGCACGCACUGUCCACGGACUGGCCUCUGUUAGGGAGGGGAAAUUCCAUAGAACCAAGCAAUGGAAUGAGCAACCCAAUAAUCCGCUUUACUUGUUUGUUGCGAAUAAAGAGCAAGCAAGGUGCAAGCCCACUUUCGUACUCCAGCUUACCUCCUUCAUGACUUUCGAAAUCAAUAUUUCCAUUCUUAUUGAUAUGCCCUGACGAGAUUAUCUUUUAAGUAGGCAGGCAAUAAUUCGAGUGUUAGUUAGCAUUGUGCCAAAGAAAAGAGACAUUGAUGAAAACAGCCCAGAAGACAGACGUCUAAUUCAGUGCUUAGCACUCAGCUUGCUCAGGGGUACGAAUGAAUUCCGUUGAGGCUCAGGCUCUAUACAAAGAUUCGGGGUGGAGCCUUAGAACACUUUGGACGGGACGGUUAGGAGCAUCAUUUCUGAACCACAAAUCCAGCUUGGCCAUAGGAAGAAGUUCGUGCUCAAAAGGAAAGAGAAAACCUCCUCCCACUUUGGAAUUGAACGUCUUACGGAUCUACAGCGGAUCGUAGAGUUAGAGAUUCCCAAUAUUGGACUUUCGUCUUUCUUUUCAAUCUCUAGUAAUAGUAAUCCCACGGCAUUGAUAGAAACCAUUUAUUAGAAAGCAUCAUCAUCAACUAACGCAGAUGAAACACUACUCAAUUACAACCAAUGGCACCUUCUUCUCGAAAAGAUAAGGCAGAUUCCAAGCUAGCUUAAUUGCGGGGGCUGGGCUCCCCGGAGGAGCUUGGAGCACUUUGCAUCAUCCAUCAAACUCCAUAAGCUUUGUUACCUUAGUUAGGAUUCGAUCCAUCCGAUAUCUAGGUACCAUAGAAUAGAGAAAUGCAGAAGCGGCGCUUAAUUCAAUGGUAGCCAUCAAUAUUCUAAUGUAGUUUCUCCUUCGGGUGGUCAUCAAUAUUCUAAUGUUGCUUUUCCUUCGGGGUUAAUAUUAUCCUUUAGCUUCUCCUUCGGGUGGUCAUCAAUAUUCUAAUGUUGCUUCUCUUUCGCUUCAGUUCAAGUUCACACGCCUCGUCCUUCCUGAAUUACCAACCACCUGAGGACCCUUAUUAGAUUAGGGACCGGAAGUUAGCCAUUCCCUAUACAUGAAUAAAUCCGCACACUCUCUCUUUUCUUUUAUGACUUGCCGAUCAUCUCAGUGAGAAGGACUUGGCUUGGGUUGAAGCUACGUGAUUAAUAUCUAUUUCUUUCAUGUAAGUAUUCUCUCUUUUCAUAUCUAUUUCUUUCAUGUAAGUAUUCUCUCUUUUCAUAUCUAUCAUCAGUAAAAGCCUUGGUAAGCACGGAUUGAAGACGACUUCUAGUUUUUUGCCUUGUCAAAGAAAAGGGAGUUUACUUAUUCAUACCGAGUCUUGUUGUUGGCAAGAUUCAUGAUGUGAUUCAGGCACACUUACUCCUGUGAUUCUAUGGUGAGAAGCUGUCCCGGAUGUGAUUCAGGCACACUUACUCCUGUGAUUCUAUGGUGGGCGGUAAUAGGGCCAUUUCCAUAAAUACUACUUAGAUUCAUACUAAACUACCAAUCUUUCAAUCUAUUUAUUAGCGAUAAUCGAGCUUUCCCCCCUUGCCAUACAGAUUGAUUUCGCUUUCCUGGCUCACUACUUCGACUUCUGAGUUCAAACUAUUCCUCAUACUACUAUUACUGCUAUGAUUUGCCCAUUCCCAGACUAAACAGAUUACAAAUAUUCAAAUAAUAGAAGCAUCUUAUCUCCAGGAACGCUACCAGGUUCGGGUAGUCCUGGAAAUAACUCUAUACGAGAACACUGAUCGGCGAGGGUACAGCACUUCUUUCUCUCCUUAUUUAGUUUAGUGCAGGAUCUCCGACUGGUCGAAAGCAAGCUAAUGCAACGGGCUUAUGUCAAGUAAGGGUACAAUCAUUUGGAUAACGCAAGGCAAGGAUUGAUUGGCCAGAGAGCGGCACAGCUAUAUGAUCUCCUAUUUGACCAUACGUACGGUCGACUCCACCACUGCGUAUUAGCUGCAAGACUUAUUGUCGGUACAUCUUAUCACCUCGAAGGAAGGGUAAACAGGCUCGAGAGAGUCAGAAAUAAGUUCUUGUGUUGCGAUAAGAGAAUAAGCGGGAUAAGGCAGGAUAAGCGGUUCAAAAGCUUGAAGCUCCAAGUCGAGUUUCGUUCGAGCAAGGAUCUCUCUCUGUGUUGGGAGUGCGUGAGCAGAGCAAGCAACUGUGUAAGGCCAAGCUACAACUAACGAGUCCUUUUUACACGUGUUGUGCUAAGGGUUACNNNNNNNNNNNNNNNNNNNNNNNNNNNNNNNNNNNNNNNNNNNNNNNNNNNNNNNNNNNNNNNNNNNNUCUCGGGGCAGCCUACUUAAAGUAGGUGUAAGUGAGUUUCCGGGGUGCUUACAUGAGUGACUAUCAUAGGGAGUUCCGCUGACUAAGUGCUAAUGCGAGUCUUUCCGCUUGGUAUAGUCAGCAGUGUGGUUCCGCUAUUAUAGGAAGAUGCUUGAUAGAUCAAAUUCCAGGCGUUAGUCUCGAGUCAGAGAGUUUGUGCCGAGUUACUUAAGCUUACUACGGAGUUAUGUCAAUUCCAGUUUGAAUGGAUUUCGCCUGUUCUUUUGCCUUUUACUAGUGUUAGCUAAAUUCCAUGAUUUAGAGCCAGCAGAAAGCAGUGAAGAGCCAGCAAUAACAGGUGUCAGGAAGCAAGGGAAGAAUAGGAAUAAUAAGAAUCGACUGAAUGCUCAAACGAUGAAGCCUUAGUGGUUCGGUGCUCUAGCUCUAAGUCUGCGAGAGAGGCCCCAAAAUAAGGACAAGAAAUAAGUGUUAUCCACACGCGAAUGCAAGUAAGUUACAAACAAUUCCUAAAGUGCAUCUGUGUCAAAGUUCGAAUUAUUGUCUUAGAGAAUAGAAUGGCCAGGGCCAUCCAGUUCUUGUAAAGUAUACUGGGUUCCGUUGUUGACGUCUUUGUAGUCUAGGAGACCUUAUCUAAUGUGGUAAGCGGGACAGUCAGACUAACUAACGUCCUCCGCUCCAAUAAGUUAACGCGAUGCGAGUAGAAUCAGAGUGGAAUCCAGAAGAUGAUCUCCGUCGGCAAGGGAAGCAGUUAGGUAUAUCGGUGUUGUAGAAAGUCAGUCAGCAACAAGUGGUGGUGUUGGCUUAGAGAAUGAAUCAGCGGUGCGAUAUCUAGGAGUUGGCUUACAUUCAUAUCCGAUAUAGGAAGAGUCUAAAGCAGAUGCAGUGCGGGUACAGUAGCUUUCGGAGUGUCUCUAAUUUAUAUGAAUCUAGAGAUUAUUCUUUUGAUGAACUUCAAUUGGCUUGCUUCUGUAUAGCUCACAGGUUUGAGUGUUUUUGCCUUAUAGUUAUUGUGUCAGAGUGUUAUCUAGGUUCGGUGAUUGGCUUUACCUUAGCUUAGUUGUCGUAUCUAGAGUAUUUAUAGCUCAGCUCGGUUAAGUAUAAAGAAGAGAAUGAAGCUAUCCUUUCCUAGCCUAGGAACAGCUCAAUAGGGGUUCUUCAGCGUGUAGACACAGAAAAUAAGUAAUCAUAUCGCAUUGCUGAAUUGCCAGUAGUUUCUCCAUCAUCAGCCGGGUACGCAGCAAAGGUCUCUGUUUCAUGAUCCACUUCUUCAGCGCCCAGCCCUUGAACAUGAGUGAAAGUCAAGAUGAUAAAGAUGGGUUUACUGCCGCGGUGUCUACUGAAGUCAAGAUAGGUUCCAGUUUUGGUGCAAGAGAAGGAGAAAGUCAAGUCAAUCCAACCUUUAGUUAAUGCGCUAAAAGUCAAGUUCAAAAGUGAAGUAUGGAGAACAAGUGUGUUAGGAGUUAAGUUCCCAAGAUAGGUCUGUCUGUCUGUCUUAAUUAGUUCAUCGAGCUAAGCUAGCAAACUCAAGCUGCAAAUCAUAGCAACUAGCGCCGAGUCAAACAGUAAUGGAAGUUGAAUCUCUAUCUUUUUCAUAUAAAUAAGGUCCCCUUCUUUUGAAUAUAAAUAAGGAAUGGAGGAGCUCACUGACCCUAACAGUAAACUAACGCGAGCAGCUCAUCUCUAAACUCAUGAAUUUCAAGACAACUUAAUCACAUACUUACUAUACUUAAAGACUUAGUACCCGAGACGCGUGCUGUUGAUUGACUUGCGGAUUCCAUUUAUCUAGGUUCUUUAUUUACUACCUAUUACAAUUCCUGUUUUCGGCAGACAAGGUGGUAUCAAUGUAUCUGGUUGUUCCCCGAAAGUCAGCUAAAUAGGGACACCAUGGAAAGUCAGCUAUACUGGAAGAAAGUCAGCUAUAUAUGGAUGGGCACCCGGGGGAGAGUUAGUUCACUGACACCCACUGAUAUCAAAAAGUCACUGGUAACAUCCGUAACAGCAAGCAAGGGUUAAGGUGAGCUCCCGAUGGAGUCAGUGCUAAACGAAUCCAAUAUGGAGUUUUCAAGGAAAAAGGUGAAGGCUAAAGUCCGGUAAUAAGAACUUCAAGUGUUUUUGGUUGAGGCAGAAUCCAUUCUUGCUGAAGCGCUAAGGAGUCCAGACUUAUAUACACGCUUACACCUCUGGAACAAAUAAAGAUGUUAGAGGAAAAAUGCAUUGUCCUUUAUUCGUGGCCUCUCUUUGCUUUUGUUGAGGAGUUGAACGGAGGCAUAUAGGUGUUACGAUGCAAAAGGAACUGAUUUACUGCUUCACCAAGCACAUUGAUAUUAGCAACUGGGCGUUGAAGCCCUAAGUCAAGAAGAAUACGAGUGGAGUUAAGAGUAUACGAGUUCGGGUGCUUUACUUUCCAAGUAUAAAGAAGAAGAUCUCGAAUGGCCUGGAAAGCAAGGUAAAAGUGAUACAACAUAUUUUGGUUAUGAAAGGGGAGUGAACCUUUUGAAUUGAAGAAUGGAGUUUCGAAUGCUCAUCUGCAGAAGUUAGCAGAGAAGAUACCCAUGUACCGUUGUCACUUCCUUUUAUUAUGGUUGUGGUAAGUGGUAAGUAAAGGAAAGGUUCGGUUCAGUUCCAAGAAAGUAUACAUCGAUAACAGAAUCAUAAGUGAAAGUUUCAAGAUCAAAAGCAGUUCCCGAAACCUGCCAUUGAAGACCCAGUAAGUAAAGCUCUGAUAUGGCAUUGACGCCUAGAAAUAGAUCCAAGUUCCUAGGUGUACUCAAUGAAACAAGCAAGGCAAUGGAAUCUAUCGUAUCGAGCAUCUGGUAGAGAACUUAACAGAGUUAAGACCAACCAUCCCUUCCCUUUGAUUUGGCCGACCUGACCUCUUCUAGAAGUCCAUUAUUUGAAUAUCUCUCUUAUUGAGCACCAGAUAUAGAAGCUUGUAAAACCACACCAUACCUUUCAAGUGGAACUACCACUGAUUCCCCUGAAACAGCUUAUUAGGAAAAGAAUCAACUCUCACAGGAACUGUACAUUCUCAUCUCACUCGACUUGCGGAACUGCUGACAGCUUACUCUUUUCUUUAACCGCUGACUACUCUCUGGACUUAGAUCCAAGAACUUAUCUUCUCAGAACCCUCACCUAUGAUUCUCUAACUGUUGAUGACACUAGCACCAAACCUAUCUCCACAGGAUUUCCUUCCCGCGCGCAACAAGAACAGUACGGUCAACCCUAAACAAUACUUGAAACGAAACUUGAUACUGGACCUAAACAAGAAACAUCAUUUCCUCGUACUGCCGAAGAUCCAGAUCCAUCGCCUGUCCGGCCAACAAGGUGUUAGGAGACAAGAACUUUCAUAGCAGCUCACUUUCUUUCUGAACCAACAACAUUCGAGCCUGAUACUGAAGCGGAAGAUUUGAUUCCUGGCAAAAAGAAUCUAUUGAGUCUUGACUUGAGAGUCGAGUGCAGAAGUUAGUCUAGGAGAGAAAAUUGUUGUAAUGGAAUCCUUCCUUUCGAGUGGCGAGGAAAACUGUAGCUGUAAAUCAGUCCAUUCUCUAAGACAAACGGAUUAAAGUAGAACAGAAACGGAGUUGCCUUUCUUUGCUUUUGUAGUACUGACUUGUCCUCAUCUGACCCGGAACCCAUCUGGAUUUCCCGCUUCCUUGAUUCUUAACCACCAUGUAGGCAGAUGAAACUAAGGUAAAGCGCCAAUCACCUCUUUCUACAACAAGGGAAGGAGCUAAUUGAAUCUCUCUCUACGACAACUAAGGGAAAGCCAAAGAGACUCCACUGAUGUACACCACGAUAGUUGCAGAAGCCAAUAAUCUAGGUAAACGGAUUGCCCCGCUUACGCUCUACGCUCGGCUGUAUACGAGUUCCUUCGAAAGUUGUGGUAUAAGCUCUGCGUCGAUUAUACGAGUUCCUUCGAAAGUUGUGGUAUAAGCUCUGCGUUGAUAAAGUCUCAAUCAAGUAAGUCGAUAAAGUAAGUUGCAAUGACAUUCUUGUGUAAUCCUAGUGCCUAGUUUCAUCGCAAGUUUCAUCGUAGAUAAAUGCUCAUCUCUACAGCGUCGGUAAAGUACAAAGGUUCCUGCGGCCAAGCCAAGAUAACAAGUAGAUCUCGCCCAUACUAAAAUCCAAGAAAUAGAACAGGAAAGUAUCGGUUUCAAACAAGGCCAAGUAACUACGCAACAAGUCGACUUCUGUCUUCAUCGCCUGUCUGAAUCGGCAUGAGCGUACUAACCGAGGUGCUUAUAUAUGAGUGAAUAAAUCCAUAUGUAUGCUCUGUAAUAUUCAUGUUGUAUAUGCUAUGCAAGAAAGAUGGAAUUAAAGGAAGAAGCGAGGGAACCAUAAGUGGAAGUGAGCAAUGCUCUGUUUUUACUAGACUCCAUAAGUGGCGCACUCUAAUAUGGGAUUUUUAGUCCCCUACUGGAUUUUGAUACUGUUCGUGGUUUCUUUUGAUACUGUUCCCAGAUACUUAACUGCUUAUACAUCUUAUGCUUAUAAUAAUCCAGCUUCAGAUCCAGAUCUCGUCGACAAAGCAAGAAAGGUCUGGUCUCUUGCAUACGAAAACAAAGAACAAAGAAAGUCGCCUAUUCUCUGCUAUUAAUGGAUACUACUUUAUAUGUUGGUUAAGAAUUCUAUUAGUUAAUACUAUUUUCUCUAUUACCUAUUGUUCAUAUACUGGAUUUAAGGGAAAAGAGUCUCCUUACCAUUAUUUUCUAUAUCAAACCAUGUUCUCUUUCUCUCAAGUAAUAAUGAAUUUCGUCCAUAUCUAACUCGCCUAUCCAAGAGGAAGGAGUGCACCUAUAUACUUCUACGCCCUCAUAAUAUAAUGAAUUGCUUAUAGGUCAUUUCUGAUUUCUGUGAUCAAAGGAAGCGAAUAAAUUGUUGUUGUCUUUGCUAGCUCUUUCUGCGCGUAAUCCCGUGAUAAGAGGUGGUUAGGCAUAACAUAAUAAGAAGUUUAUGCUCGCUUAAAAGCAGAGGGGAUAAUCAAACGAAUAGGAUGAUAGCACCAGAUUAGCUUUCCGCAAUGAUCUGUCUAGAGUUAUUCUCAAAAAGAACUGAAAGACUAGCGGCACUUAUUCCUAUUCUAUUCGAUAGUGAUUGGUUUGACCUUAACAGCCUUAUAUUAUUCAAUUUGCAGUUGACUCUUUCUCAACAGGGCAUUAUAGUGGCACUGUAACAACCCAUUCAAAGGAGAGAGUCCCGCAACAUCUGUAAAAGAAAGAAAAGAACCAUUGGCCAGCAAAAGGAAGAACAUGGUAGUAGCUUCGCCCCUUGAAUCACGUAUAUAUUCUUUGAUCGUGGUAGAGACUAGAAAACCUUAUUCUUCUCCUGGGAUAACCAAAGGUAGUGCUUGAAGACGAAUACCAAUCCGGGGAAUUCCAUUGGAUCAUACCUCGCUAUGAAAGGCAUCCUAGAAGCAGUAAAGCUCACUUGAACGUGCUAGAAGCAGUAAAGUUGACUGGAACGCGUGUCGAAAUUGACUAUUGUUGUUAUGUUAGGGGCUUUUGCCCAGGAGUUAGUGCACAGAUAGGUGAUAGAGGCUUCUCAUAUUCCCGCUUGUGAUAACGAAUCAAUCGCCCUUUAUCUAAACUUUCGAAAAGAUAGAUCCUAUUACACAGGUCUAGUGAACAAGUCUGCUACAGGCAAUUCUGCUAACCUUUUCUCAAAAUGUCUUAAAUAAGAGAAGAAAGCCUCACCUCAGAACGAAAGAAGGAGCAAGCAGAACUUGCGUAAGAUAGAAAGAUAGAUGAUCCGCCUAAAAAAGGGGACCUACUCUCUUUUCGAAAUCCAAUCAAUAGUCCGUUCCAGUCUAACUAGAUUCCUCCCUUUCACCUUUCAGUCGAUUAAGCAAUUGAUCUAGUCGUUGAUGUUGCUGGUUAUUCUUAUGAUUCCCGUCCCGGCCACCACCUUUUUAUUGCCAAUAUGGAUCCAUAAUCAUGGCCGGUUAGCUACUGAGAUAGCGUGGCUAUUGAUGGGUGUUGAAUGAUUCUUGAUAACGUGUGGUCUAGAGCUAACAUGGAUUCAGUUGGGGUAGAGGUCUUGUAGAGCCUGAUUGCCCAGUUUCCCUGAUGAAGAAGAAAAGAACUCCACUUUGCCAAAGACAUAUGAGGCAUACUCAGAUGAGUCUUCGGGUCCAGAAGGUUAUUAUACCUCCUAAAUAGGACUCAUUGUGUAGAUCUAGCUUAUGACUCUAUUAGAUAGACGAUGCUAAGAUAAUCCAGUUAUAGACGAUGCUAAGAUAAUUCUGUUCUCUAACGUUAACUAAGAAGACUAUCAGAGGAGAAGUCGACUCAUGUACUCUAUCUACGAAACUUGCCGUGCCUUUCUCGUUGGGGAUAAGAUUAUUGAUGUCGAGUGGUUUAGUAUAUAAGAUAAAGGCUGCUUUUAGGAGUGAUCUUUCUUGACUUCGGAGUAGAAUAGGUGCAAGGGAGGAUACUCGAAAUCUAAUAAGAGAAGAAAGUCAUCGAUUUACAAGGACCAACGACGAUGAGAGAAGAGAAGGGCCAAGCAACGACUCUAGCUCCUCUCCUGUUAGCGCACUAGUUUGAGUUGGGCCUGUUGAGUCUGAAGUCAACUAAUAAUUCCAUCUAUCUUGGGCAUUUAGUCAUGAAGAUUGCCCUCACUCCCUAAACAUAGACCGGAUAGUCCCAUACAUGAUUUCUCUGAACUUGACUUUAGCACAGCUUCUUUAUACGAUGAAACAUACUCUGGCGCCUUAAUCGCUACGUGGGCAGUUUAGAUGGGCAAGAGAAAGAAAAGAGUAUAUCUUCUAUUUGCCGGAGAAAAGAGCAUAUUUUCUACUCUUCAAUAGGAUCAAAGUAGAACCUGGGCGAACAGACUCAUCGACAACACCAACUUAUGAAACGGAAACGGACCCGAUAGCUGCUCCCGUUCGUGCACCUGUACUUCAUUAUUUAGAAUAACUAUACUUUUCCCUCCCGCUUCGCUUGCUGCUGACUUAACCUGACCUGACAAGUGCCAACACCGAUUCAAGUCGAACUGAGCUUGCUAACGCUUAAGCAGUUAAGCAUUCUGUCUGAUCUGAUUCUUUAUAUGAUGAAACUCGAGCGGAACUUGAAGAACCAACUAACCCCACUUACUACAUAAAGUGACCUGAACUUCACUUUCGAACAGAAACAUCAUUUCAUCCCGCCGCUUCUUCUCGAGUCGACGAAACGGGUACUUCGGAUUCUUAUACUGUUCCUUGAUAGCGCACAGCAGGAUUCUCGGCUUCAACUUCAAGUCAAACAAAAUAAUAUCCAUCUUUGACAUAUCUCUUAUAGGAAUUGAAACAACUCUCCUUUAUGAACAGCUUGCAACAUUUCUCACUCCUUUAUUUAGAUGAUGCACGACGUCUUUUCCGAACAAUACUUGCUUGAAGGGAACUUCCCGCGCGCAACAAUCACUACACUUGAAGAAAUAACGCCCAAACUCAUCGUAAGCGCUCACUCACUGGCGCACAAGUCAAAGCUGGAAUUUCCACUCAAGGAAUUGACCCAGAAAACUCUACUUUACCAGCAUUAACUAUAAGGGGCAAACUCGACUGUUGGGCACUUUACUAAUCUCUAUACUAUACCAUGUGUUACUUAUCUCAAGUUGUCAUUGAAUGAAAAAGAUGAUUGAGCUCCCGUUAGCGCUUCAAAGCCAAUAAGAUAUUCUUCUCAAAUAUGAUUACCCGAACCUCACUCUCCUCUUGACACUAGCUGCCCUCCCGACCCGACCUAAACAAAUACAGAAUUCCACUCACAAGCAGGUAAGAUAGAAUCCAUCCAAUCCGGUAACACUGAGCCUAGUACUCUUUCUCUAAAGUAGGAAGGAAAGUGAGAAUUCAACCAGUUAGUAUAAGAAUGAACCGGGUGUUUAAUAAGUAGUGGUGGACAAGCUGCCCUAAAGUUAAUGGUUAGAGUUUCAGACAGGUAGCCAAGAGUUCAAUCAAUAGUUUCAAUAAGUAUUUGGUUAGAGUUUCAGACAGGUAGCCAAGAGUUCAAUAAGUAUCGAGUUGACUCCCCGUUAGAUGACCCUGAGUUCAAAGGGACGAGGUGAAGUAGAAAGGAAGUCGGCAGAUGUAGUGACAGUAGCUUACUUGUCUAUCCGUUCCUUGGCCGUUAUGACUCAUACUUACUUUAGCCAUGAACACAGGACUCGCUCAUAACUUAACUACGGACACCGGACUAACGCACAACCACUCCAUGUUUGUCCUGAAGCUUUACUGACGCUAGAACAAAACUCCUUUAUACAGCUUCGGCAUUCGGCAGAGGUAAGAAACCAGAUGUCGGUAAUUAUACCAUAUAUCGGAGUUGCUAAGGUUAGCUUGUUGGAUUCAAGGUAAACCCUAUCUGCCCUAAACCAUACUGAUAGUGCUAUAUGACCCAUUCCAAUCUCUAAGUUUAUUCAAAGUAGGUUACCUUCUUCGCAGCGUGGAACAAAACGAAUUCAGUUUCCUCAGAGCCGAGCCUGUAGUUGAUCAUUCCAUUCGAAAUUCCUUAUUUGUAGAAAGAGCAACCAAGCAACAGUAGCAAGAGUUAUAGGAGUAGGAGCCAUUCCAUUCUAUAUUUGCUACAUUUCCAUUCCAUAUUUGCUAUAAAAGAUCAGAAUUCAUUUAGUGUAGAUUAAACUCGGGAAAGCCUUGAACUAAUUAGUUGCCAGAGUUCGAAUAGCCUAACUAUGUUAUUAAAGAAAGAUUCACCUCGGUGCUGUGGUUGCUUGUGGUUGCUUGGCCGGUAUUCAACAAUAACAUUCCUUCCCAGGCGAGGCGGGGAUUCAAGUAUGCUUCUGUCCUUUCCUCUAGCUAUUUCUGUUAUUCGUUUAGCUAUUUCUUUUAUUCGUUUCGUAUGCUUCUGUCCUUUCCUUUAUUAUAUUAAAGUAGGGUACCCGGUAGUAGUAGUUUCUUGUCCGUCUUACUUAGUAGCUUGGUUAUCCGUGUCUUUGUCUGUUCGGUGCUUUAUCUGUCUACUUGCUAUGUGUUUGCAGGAUAGAUAGCCGGUAUUGAACUACUGAAGAGAGGAAUAGAGUUGACUGAACACUAGCCAUAGAAUCCCCAGGUAAAGUGAUCGAGAUAUCGGACUAUUUCGUGAUAUCGGACUGUUUAUUAGUGGGAUAUCUUACUUUAUCGUUAUAUCAGACUUGGAAGAUCUGACUGCCAAGUAGACCAAUAAGGGAGGGAAGAGUGAAAGAGCUGGGAGUAAGCCUCGGUUAGGUCUUAGAAAUAGUUCUUUUUGUUCUGUUGAGAGUUCAGUUUGUUUUGAGAGAGCACUGGGAAAGCGUUUAGUCUCCUUUAAGCAUCUAAGCUCUUAACUCCAUACUCCAUACCUGGCUAAGCAUCAUAAGGUAUCUUCUCUCCCUAUGACCAGUUUAGCUCCUACCGCGUAACAAAGGAAUUUGAAAGAAAUAUUUCUCAUUAAAGGAAUUUGACAGAAAAAACUUUCUCAUUGGACCCGUAGCGACCACUAUGUAGGAACAUGCAUGGAAGCGGCUUUCUUUUGAUUAGAAGUGUUGCUUAUAAGUUGGAGUUAAGGGAGCUGUUCUCCUAUUAUUGAGAUUAGAGAUGGAUGGAAAGAAAGUGGUUGAUAACGACAUAGAGAGAACGGAAUUAAGGGAGCUGUUUUCCUAUUAUUGGGUGGGAUUAGAGCGAGAUUAGAGCAAGGAUGAAAUCCGUGUUUGAUAACGAGAAAGAUAGAACGAUGUAGAUUGGAGCAGGCGAUAUAGAUUAGAGAUGGAUAGAAAUAGGGGAUAGUAGGAUGGAUUGCUAGAUGGAAAUAAGGGUUUGAUAGUAGGAUGGAUUGCUGGAUGGAAAUAAGUGUUUGAUAGUCGGUUGGUUGCUGGAUGGAAAUAAGUGUUUAUAGUAGCAUGGACUUUGCAUCCAAAAAGGAAGAAUGCUUGAUUACCCAUAUGGAAAUAGUAGUCAAACCUGGCACAUUAAGGGUGAAGAAAGGAACGAGGGAAGAAUGCUUUAUACCACCACUAUACCACUAUCGGAAAGGAGCGAGUAAGUCCAAGAAUCAAAGCAGUAAGAAAGUAGUCUACUUGUUCUGAAGCGGGAAGGAAAGAAAGCCUUAAUAAGUCAGGGCGGAAUGAACUACGGAGAAGAAUGAAUCUAAGGCCAUUUCCUCAUUGUUUAACACAAGCACCUAAACCUGUCUCUGCAGAGGUAAACUAAGGGCCCUUACUAUCAUUUCUGCCAAUAAGCCAAUGCACCCGAGGAGUCGUUAACUGUUAUUUGUCUAGUUGCUUGGUCACUUAUAUUGUUUUAAUGAAUCAAUCCUUUCUUUCUGCUCGAGCUCCAUCAUGUACUAUAAACCUAAGACAAAGUACUAUAACCCUAAGACAAUGAAUUCUCAAUAAUAUAGAAGAUCGGUCUUACAUUAUAAGAAAAGAUAGAUCGGCUAAGUCUGACAUUCUCCUUAUUACCCUCGAUUCCCCAGAAUAUAAAUUAUUGUAUAUUGAAGUAACCGCAGAGAUGCAUUUUGAUUAGCCUUAUUGACUCGUUAUUACCUUGACUUUGAUUCACUUAUUGACUCGUUAUUACCUUUACGUGAGUAAGGAAAGGAGGUAAAUGACUUGAUUCUAUAAUGGGUGCACUCAAUUGAAAAAGCACUCAUUGACGCUAUAGGGCUCAUACGAAACUUGUAUAACGGGGUCUAUGCCACUGCCUCUGUCCUAACCUAAUUCAUAGUGUUGGAUUCAGCUGUCUCUGUCCUUUAGUUUUUAAAAGCAAAUCCAAUAAGCUUUUCUAAUCAAAAGCAAAUAUCUCCUUAAAAGAAAAAGAAAGAUCAGAUAGAUAAACAAAAGAAGGAAGUGAGCAAGCGCUGUAACCGAGAAAAGAGUGCAUGCUCAUUAGGCCCCGACCGCCCCUAGCUUUCGUAACCCGUGCUUGAUGCCAAAGUUUGAUACGUCGCCACCACUUCGACCCGGCACAGGCAAACAGUAGCUUCCCUUAACUAAAGCAUGGAACCUCAUACACCAUAAGAUUUUCUAAAUAACAUAUUAUCAUUGUGAGGAAAUCCGUUUCGACGACAGUAACAAAGUAGGAAUGCUGACCCCGACUAACAAGACAGAAGGUAAAUAAUCGAUCAAUUAGAUUGAAGUCCUUUUAUUGAGUAUUCGUUUUUGAAUAUGCUUGGCUUCCAUUGCAUCACACCUACGAUAAAGAAAGGCGGGGAAGGCUUUAUUAAAGAGUCAAAACAAAUUGAUGCAGGCGCCACAUAAAUAGAAAGCAUGUAAAUAGAAAAUGUGCACACUUAGUGAGAAAAGGAAAAAGCAUGAAAACAGAUCCAAACUAUGAGUAAGGAACUGACUUACUGCUUGGCCCACUAAGGGUUACAGAGGAGGAUGCUGUUUAGGGAUGAUUGCAGGAGGAUUUAGUUUAGGGAUGAUUGCUCUUUAAUCCGUCCCUUCCUUACUUCACAAAAUAACUAAUUCCCUAACUCUGAGAAAGCGAGUCUUGUCUUCUUGCGCCGCUCUUCCAGAAUCCAUUCGGGUGGGCCAAACAAGGAAGGCCGUGGAUACACCACUGAAUCGGUCGGGCAGAGAGGUGGUAACCGUGAAACUCCUUUUUUUGAAUCAAAAGGGAUGGUCUUACUUGUUCAAGACAGAGAGCAAUUCCAUUGAAACCAUUUACUGUCUUAAAAAACGAAGUGCUAUUCUUUCUUCUCCAGCCCCUCAGGUAAAGAACAACUAUGUUAUUAGGCUCAAAUGCAUCAGAAGCACCAUUUCCUCAUGAAAACUCAUAUGUGACAAGUAUAUUAUAGAUAGUACUAAAGUAUUAUAGAUAGUACUACUGAAAACCACCCAUGUGAAACAGAGCUAAUGGCCUGCCUGCUUUUAAGCUUGACAGAUAAGGACUUCUUGAAGAGGAAGAGGCAUUGCAAAUCAAUCUUACUGUGUACCGACCCAUUAAGGAUCGUUGAGUUACAUUGGUUGCCUGCCGGUUGCAGAUGAGAUGUUGUUGACUCGGGCAGAGGGACUUCUACACCUUAAGCAGCCUUUCUAUUAACCACAGGAAAGGGUAAGAAAUGACAACGAUUCUAAUAGAGCGGGCCCCCUCUUUUCAUGUCAUUUGUAAGCGUAAGCGCGAAAGAAUGUUGUUGUAGAUAACUGUGCCACUAUGAAUGAUUCAAUUAAGAUGUAAUAUGUUAUAGAUUAUUCCAAAUUAUAUCAUAUGUAUCUCGUCCAUUAUAAGAAAAAGAUGUAAUAUGUUCAUAGAAUAGAUUAUUCCAAAUUAUUAUAUCAUAUGUAUCUCUUCCAUUAUAAGAAAAAGAAAGGGUACCGAUACCCACAUAUAAGAAAGAAUGUCGGCACCCACUAAACAUAUAGUAUUCAAUUAGAAUCCAGAUUAGGUAGUCCUGGCCAAGCAGACAAGUAACGACUUAUAUAGGCUUGGCGCUCUCUACUCAACUCUUAAGUAAGAAUGGCCAAAGAGCCAAGGAACGGAUAGACAAGCAACGGUACAAGCAAUUACGUAUUUUGAUUAGUUAUGAACAAGUCCCUUUUUUGGCCCCAACUCUAUCCUCUUGAUAAGCCUUAUUGUCUCCCGUGCCCACCUCAGUAGCGGUAAAGAGGUCUUUCUUCUUAAUCUUAUAAGAAAGAGGAAAUAAGAAACUAGAUGCUUAGGAGUUAAAGAAGCAGUUCGCAAGCCAUAUCGCAUAGGAAGAAAGCUGCAUGCCAAGAAGUGAAGCCGACCACCUCCCUUCGCACCAAAAGUGUUUCACUUAUGAACCGCCCCAACAAAUAAGGAUGAAACUUGGGAUUCCACAAUAAAUACUGAAUUAAGGAGCAGCUACGGGUAGCGGUAAGUAAACUCCAUUCUGAUUGUCUCCCUCGACAGCCUCCGCUUACCUAGCUUGCCCAGGGCUUGUCUACCUAUCUGCUUUCCUUGCCUUUGUAGCAAUCAAAUUCGUAUAGGAGCCGAUCCUUCUCCCUGUUACUGUUCUUGUUUAAUACCGAGUGAAAUCCAUGUACCAUAUAAUUGAUUCACUUUCCUUGUAGUAGAGUUCGGGAUACACCUAUUUGUUCUGUUCUUAAAGGCAGCAGUAAGGAGUUAUUGUUUGUGGAGUUCGCAAGUAAGUGACAGUUCCGCUCGAAAGAUAACUGUUUGAAGCUAAAGACUGUAUAGGCCCAACAAGUCGUGCUAAUGCAAGUUUCCCACGAGGCGAGAGAUUCUACUGUUUGACAAGGCGCUAACAGAGUUUCUACACGUAAGGAGGUAGCUGUGACAUAGCUUGUUUCAGAAUCCAUCUUCGUUUUCAGAGCAGGACAGGACAGGAUCGGGGAAGCUAAGCGCAAGACGUAUUAGCAAAAGGGCGUUGAAGCGGGGUCUGGUCUACUUAAGUUUCUUGUUCCGUUGCAUGUUAGCGAGUUAAUCAAGCCUUUUCCACAGUGCUAUUCGAGUCUCUUUGGCUUGCUCCUGCGCACAAGGUAAUAAUCAAUCAUUGACUUUAGUCUAGAGGCAAAUAACUCUGUAAGCCGAAAACAGUCAUGGAACUUGCCCGAACCUUUCUCUCUGUAAUAACGGAACUAGAUUCUUACUUGAACCCGACAGCGCUUGCAUCUGUACCGCCGCAAUACAAUCACCUCUCGAGUCUACUUUCCUGGAACUUAUUAUUAUGUUGAAACAGCAGCCUCUCCAGGUAAGGAAGCAAGCAAAGGGUAGUAGACCUAAAGUGCUUGUAUAGGUUGGUGCGCUAACGCGAGUUACGAAAGGAAAGGGGAAGUCAAGACAAGAGCAGAGCCAGCAGUCAGCUGGUUGUUUACUCCAUUCUCUAUUAGUGGGAACACAAGUGAGAUUCUCGUUCCCGCUCAAGUAAACUUAGCACCACUGCUUGCUUAUUAUUAAUGUAGUAUAUAGGACUCGUAUCAAGACUCAGUGCUCAAGGGAUAGUUGAGUUUCUCGAUGGUCAGUGAAAUUGUCAGCAGAAAAAGCAAUGAAUGGCUUUCGAACAGGCAAGAGUCAGCUGUGUUGUUACCGCUCCGUGGGCUAUCCGAACUCCCUUAACUUACAAAGGACAGAAACCAUUAGUAUACCAUUAGAGUUAAGUUUAAGCCAUCUUAAACCUUAGAGAAGCUGACCUAUGUUGCCACAACAAGAGCUCUUCUAACGCAUUGUUUACCUAAUAAUAGAAACCAAACCCUCUCUCUUGCUAAUACAGAUCUUGCGAACUCACUAACAAAUAGUCACUCGCGUAAGCCGAAAUGGGUACUUACGUCUUGCUCCCGAAAACACACGAUACUUGCUAACUUCUUAAUUGCGAGUAAAGACACAGCAACUACUUGUUCCUUCUGCCUUCGCAGCCGUGAUGACGCGGUUCUAAACAUUUCUACUGGAUCUCUUAUUUGCCUCCCGGAAUGCUAGUAUCAAAAAAAGACGAGUGCCUGACUUCGAGCCCAUAGAUCCAAAUCCAGAAGAAGCAUAUGAAUCUCGAGCUGCUUUUCAUUUCUAUCUUAUAUCGCGUGACAACUCCUCCUCCCCUUAUUUGUGAUUACUCCCUUGCCUUAAUAGAAAUUGGCUUCAUCAAUCAAGCCUUAUCCACUUACUGUCAUUCAUUGACUAAUAGCUUCCUCAGAGUCGGUUGGGGAGCUUCCUCAGAGUCGGUUGGGAAGGCGCUUAACCACAUCUUUUCCUACAUUCUUAAGUAGAGCAGAGCAGUAGAGUGGAAAGAUGCUCAUUAAGAGUAGAAAGAUGCUCAUGUUGUAUAUGUUGAGUAAUUUGAUUGAAAUCUAUUUCAUGUUGCCUUAGAUUAUAUUAUGACUUUAAUAAACACUGGCUCAGCUCACUACUGGAAAUAUCUAUCCAUAUAGAAAUUGAGAUCAUAAUGAGAAAGCAUUGGUAGGGUACUGCCUUGUCCGGAAUAGCAGGCCUGAUUGGAAUAACUCACGGAUUGGCUUGCCCUCCCGCACCGACCGACCUUAGUGGACAGACAAGAGAAAGAAUCCUGACUUAAUUAAUUACUGCAUCGCUUCUUAUGUAAUGGCAUUAAUAAGCUUGCAUUCCCUAUACAACUAAUGUAUAGUAUGGACAGAAAAGUGCCGACAUCAAUCUUCUAUUCAAGUCAAGUGCUAACGGAGCUUUGUAAGGAAGCAAUGGCCGUGUUUUUACACUCCAUUCUAUAUGGGAUAGCUAGCUCCCCUUCCAUUCUGUUCAUCAAAGUAAUCAAAGAAUAUUAGUAACAUAUAUAUAUUAGAAUAUGCAUCUUGAUUAUGGACUUGAUUCCGGAGUUUGUUGACUUUAUUCUUGAGUUGAUUCAGAAGUGUGUUUAGUUAUUCAUAUGAUUAAGGAGUUAGUUUACAUGGUUCUAUCUUAGGUGGAGAGUGAGUGAGUUGACUCUAUUCUAUCAGAUUGGACUUCUGAAACCAAUCCGUAGUUCACAGUCCGCAUUAACACUUGGGCUGAUAUCAUCAACCGUGCUAACCUUGGUAUGGAAGUAAUGCAUGAACGUAAUGCUCACAACUUCCCUCUAGACCUAACCUAGCUGACACCCACCUUCGUCCCUUCCAGCUUUGUAUCUCCCCCAUUGAGUCGUGCAAUAACAAUAAGGUCUCACAGGGAUUGGGACAAUAAUACAAAUUCCUGCACUGAUAAGGUGAGAAAGAAGACCAGAUUAGCCCUUAGGUCACUGAUACUAUAUCCCUGUCCUCAUACUAUCUUCUUCUCAGUUAGUUUGAGUUUCCGGUCUUUGCCUUAUCUCUCCGUAGCGUAAGAAAGGAUCUUAUUGUUUACCAUCCCUCCUUCCUGUUCAUCUACCUGCACAGGGUUAGUGCUAUUAUUGCAGCAGAUUCGCCAGUCGAAAAUCAUCCCCUUAUUUCUAUGUUGGUGGGUAGUGAGCUAUUGAUGUGGAUGGGCUUGAUGAGGAAUUCGAUGCCUGACCUCUGCCUGGUACCCAAAAAGCCUAUGCUUCUUCUACUCAUGUUCUACUACUUAUGACUCAUGUUCUACAACUUAUGUUAGUUAUGAAACUAUUGGAAGCUGUUAGUUAUGAAACUCUUUUAUGCUGCUACUAGUGCCACCGGCGUCGGGUAAACUUCUUCUACUCAUGUUCUACAACUUAUGUUAGUUAUGAAACUAUUGGAAGCUGCUACUAUAACUAUAACCGGUAGUAUUGUGCCCCCCAUCGCUGAUGUUGGUGCUGGGUCUUAAUCACGAACACGCAGUUUCAAUCUGGAUUAGUUGUGACGGCACAUCGAUUUCUCAAUCAACCCAAGCUUCCUUAUACUCAUAUUAUUGCAACUUACAGAAAACAUUUUUGAGAACCCGAAAGUCCAAACCAAGUUGUUCGAAUCUCCUAGAAAAUCUAUGCAUACCUUGUUCCCUACAUUUCCCCCGCUAACCGGUACUACAUUCGCAAACCAAUCCGGAUGAUGCAUGGGGGGCCUGUCUCGGUCUCAUUGAAAGGUGAAGUGCAAGCAAGCAAGUCAAGCCAAGCAGUACUAGAUAGAGUGUGGUGAUUCUUUAUUCUAUUGAGGUGUCUAUAUGAUCAUCUUAUGGAGAAAGGUCGGAUUCAAGAAGUCAAAGUAAACCAACGGGCGACAAUUAGAAGAGAGUAGAAGCUGGUGCAGGCGGUGCGAAGUACUCUUUCUUUUCGGAAUUCAUGGCUAGACCCUGUGCUUACCUAGAAAGUGGUAUGUAAGUAAGUCCACCUACGGCCAGGUUGUCCACCGGAUUAAGUCUGCUAAGAUGAACUCGGAUUUUGCUCCUUGCCUUCUUUAGGCCUCUUGAUUGCCUACGAAAGAGAAAUAGGGACAUCCUUUAUUGUUAAGAGCACCACUAGGAGUUCACCUGAUUCCUUUCUUACAGUGCAGGAGUGACCAUACUAGACAAGCAAAGUGUGACAAGCCGAAAUGAACAAGUAAUAAAACCAGUAGAGCAACAAACAGUAACAAAUCCUCUGUGCUAAGGGAGUAGGAGAACCUAUGUGCUAAGCAAGAAACCCGAGUUAAGGGAGUUCAGUGCAAAGGAGUUAAUAAAACCCAUCCUUUCAUUAAUGUUAACUAAUAAAUGGUUAUCCAUCAUUUUAUAUCCCUUCCCUAUUCUAAUCCGAUCCUGUUUUCGUCAACUAGAACGGAGACUGGCUAUUCAUUCUCGUCUACAAUACCACCGAGCUGGCUACUUCUCGUCUACAAUAUCACCGAGCUGGCUACUUCUCGUCUACAAUACCACCGAGCUGGCUACUUCACCUCUUAUUCUUGAUCGGACUAACGCUAUACACGAACAAAGGAACAAAAUACAGGUUACGAAGAAAGGACUGGAAAGAUGGGCGCGGGUAUACACUCUAAAUGAACUCCGUUAUUGCUACCGCUCUUUUAGCUCGCUACCGCCCAGUGUUUAACUCGCUAGUUGGAUUCUGUCUGGGUGAAGGGGCUAUCUGAUUCUUGGCCUACUUAGGGACAUUCUGAUCUUGUGGAUUAAGGCCUCAGGCUUGUUGGUACUGGUUGAAGGCUGGGCGGAUCUAGUUGAAGAGUAAGUGGCACUGGCUUGGUUCUGAGUACCUAACAGCACCAGGCUUAGUAUACCUAGCUCGGGUUGAAGUCUUUAACUACCUUGUUUCAGGCUGAGUCAUAUGAGUGGAAUUCUGAGUCUACCUCCAAAGCCUUCUACUUACUGGGCUGGGCGCAUUCUUGGACGAGUGAGUUGGAUUCUAAGAUUGACUGGUGGAAUUCUUAGCUUCUGGCUAGCUCCCCUCUUAGGGACAUUCUGUAAUUCCUUAUUGGCUCGGUGUUGCCUUAUAUACGAGUAGCAAUUCCAAUUCUGAAAUAACUUAUAUACGAGUAGCAAUUCCAAUUCCGAAAUAAGAUAUGAUAGGCCAAGCCGACUUCUCCUCUUACAACUAAUACUUCCUCUCCUCUGUAAACUAACGACUACUGAGUGCAAUUCUCACUUAAGAACUAUCACUGGGGAUUCCACUUCACCAAAACACGGGAAAAAGGUAGCAAACGGAUAAAGUGGUUGACUCUACAACUUACUAUAAGGGCUCUGGACUAGAGCAUAGCAUCUCUUCUACCUAUGGCAACAGUCAACUUCAUUGGUUCCCUUUCCACUCCCCUUAUAUAAAGCACCGACACAGUGUUCAAAACAUUCCAAUCGAAAUUCACUCUUAUUAUAUUAUUCUUAUCUUAUAUACGAUAUACGAAAAUAUACGAUGAUAUACGAAAACAAUAUUCUACGAAAACAUUCUUUUUUAUCUGACUUAUAUUAUACGAAAACAUUCUAUCUUUAUUAUACGAAACCGUUUACUCGUACUCAAAGAUAUUAUCACCCCCUAUGCCCUAACCUAAAAAAGGCACCCACAUCUAUUAUACCUCUUCAGGCGAGGCGCUCCGACCCCGCGCACUGCAUCGAUUCUCUAUCAGCCAAGCGAAAACUAGACACACCUAUAGCACCGAACUACUAGAGCAUAGCACCGGCACCAUUAACUAGAGCACCGAACUAUCACUUUUCGGACCUCUCUUAUCUUUCCUUCCCACGCCAACACACCCUACCUGGCUUUCUCACCAGGGCAGCUAUUGUCCAUCAGAAGUUUUCCUAUAUCACAAGAGAAGAUAGAAUUUCGGAUGAGACUCAGGCUAGGUAGCGAGCUAGAGGAACGGCA